This 520-nucleotide ribosomal RNA is filed under the name uncultured Entrophospora. RNAcentral's name for it is "SSU rRNA". It matches the Rfam family "Eukaryotic small subunit ribosomal RNA", at positions 569 to 1081 of the family's 1831-position model. The record is from RNAcentral. Lineage: Eukaryota; Fungi; Glomeromycota; Glomeromycetes; Entrophosporales; Entrophosporaceae.
AGCAGCCGCGGCAAUUCCAGCUCCAAUAGCGUAUAUUAAAGUUGUUGCAGUUAAAAAGCUCGUAGUUGAAUUUCGGGAUUGACCCAUCGGUCGUGCCUUAAGGGGUAUGAACUGGUGUAGUCAAUUUCUCACCUUCUGGAGAACCGUGAUGUCCUUAAUUGGGUGCCACGAGGAACCAAGGACCUUUACUUUGAAAAAAUUAGAGUGUUUAAAGCAGGCAUUUUUGCUUGAAUACAUUAGCAUGGAAUAAUAAAAUAGGACGGCAUGAUUCUAUUUUGUUGGUUUCUAGGAUCACCGUAAUGAUUAAUAGGGAUAGUUGGGGGCAUUAGUAUUCAAUUGUCAGAGGUGAAAUUCUUGGAUUUAUUGAAGACUAACUACUGCGAAAGCAUUUGCCAAGGAUGUUUUCAUUAAUCAAGAACGAAAGUUAGGGGAUCGAAGACGAUCAGAUACCGUCGUAGUCUUAACCAUAAACUAUGCCGACUAGGAAUCAGACGAUGUUAAUUUUUUCAAUGACUCGUUU